UACGUAGGGUGCAAGCGUUGUCCGGAAUUACUGGGCGUAAAGCGUGCGCAGGCGGUUCGUUAAGUCAGCUGUGAAAGCCCCGGGCUUAACUUGGGAAUUGCGCUCGAAACUACUUUGCUGGAGUGUGGCAGAGGAAGGUGGAAUUCCACGUGUAGCGGUGAAAUGCGUAGAGAUGUGGAGGAACACCUGCGGCGAAGGCGGGUUGCUGGGCUGACACUGACGCUGAUGCGCGAAAGCCAGGGGAGCGAACGGG
RNAcentral lists this ribosomal RNA (253 nucleotides) under uncultured bacterium. RNAcentral's name for it is "partial 16S ribosomal RNA". It matches the Rfam family "Bacterial small subunit ribosomal RNA", at positions 524 to 776 of the family's 1533-position model. The record is from RNAcentral.